UACAGAGGGUGCAAGCGUUGUUCGGAAUUACUGGGCGUAAAGCGCGUGUAGGCUGCCAUGUAAGUCAGGUGUGAAAGCCCUCAGCUUAACUGAGGAAGUGCACUUGAAACUGGAAAACUUGAAUCUUGGAGAGGUCAGUGGAAUUCCGAGUGUAGAGGUGAAAUUCGUAGAUAUUCGGAAGAACACCAGUGGCGAAGGCGACUGACUGGACAAGUAUUGACGCUGAGGUGCGAAAGCGUGGGGAGCAAACAGGAUUAGAUACCCCGGUAGU
Molecule: ribosomal RNA, 271 nt
Filed under: uncultured bacterium
Lineage: Bacteria
Description: partial 16S ribosomal RNA
Rfam family: Bacterial small subunit ribosomal RNA
Source: RNAcentral